UUAUUAUUUUUUUGUAUUAUAACAAUUGUAUCUAUUUAUCUUACUAUGGGUAUGGAGGGUACAAAACAGAUCCACGAUAUAGACCUUGUAAUUGACAAGGUUACAAAGAAGGCUGAUCUUUACUAACAUCUUAGCAUGUACAUGGAUUUAAUAUGUAUGUGUUGCCUAACUUGUAGUGGUUGCUAAUAAGGUGGUUGAUAUUGUAGGUUUACAUGAAUAUCUAGGAUCUCCUCCUGAAGGGGAAUUUUCAAUGCAUUUGCAGUCCAAUUCACUGAUAAAGAACUAGAAAAACUGGCUAAUGUAUAUUGGAACAUCCUCUUGUAAUUUUGAAAUAAAUUUGUUUCUUUGAUGUCUCAUAAGGUUGUAGUGUCAUUUAAACUUGAUAUGCAGGCAUGGAGGGAGUGGCGUCCAUUAAACCCUCCAACUUCACACAAUGAGAUCUCGACUUCAUAGGUUUCACUGAAACCAUUAAUUGAAAUCUCGUUGUUGAGAGUGAUGUCAUUAUCGGUGUUAUUGAUGCUGGAAUUUGGCUUGAUUCACCAAGUUUCGGUGAUGGAGGUUUUGGUCCUCCUAAGAAAAUAGAGAGGUGCUUGUAAGGGUGGCUUAAAUUUUUGUUGCAACAAGAACAUAUAAUAUUUUUGAAUAUAUAUUUCUACUUGCACAUGCCAGCAUGCAGACAUGCUACUAGUUAUGUUAACACAGUUUUCUCUAUUUGGUGCACUUGUUGGUAUUUUUUUGGUGUCCCUGCUCAUCCUCCUUUUAUAUAACCUGAUGGAUGAGAUACUUGUUAGAGAAAAAGGUGAAAAUAAUUGAGAAAGUGAACAGAAAAGCAAGAAAAAAGAAGUAUUUGGUUAUCUUGGUCAGUAAUAUUAAUUUUGUUUAUCUUGUUCUUAAUAGAUCUAACCACCACCUAAUAAUAGGAGCAAGUAAGGUUAAUCAUUUUCCUUUUUUUUGAACUAACGUUGUUUUGUAUAUUGUUAUGUGUUUCAUGUCAACAACUGAAGAUUCUCUUAGCAAUCUGGGGUGUAAAUUCUACAGGAAGUUGAUUGGAGCUUGGAGUUAACAGCUUCUACGAGGGACAUGAGUGGUCACGAAACCCACAGGGCUUCCAUGGCAACUGGCAAUAAGGAUUACAGGAUCUGAACAAAUUGUUCCAGAGCUCCAAAGCAAUCGGUGCUUGUCAUGCUAUGGAGAGGGGUAUUUUAGCCUAUAACACUGCAGGAAUUGAAGGUCCUUGGCAAGGUGGUAUAGUGAAUAUUGCACCCUGGAUGCUCAGUAUAGUGGCAAGCAGCACUGAUUGCAGAAUCGUUGACAAGGUUGUUCUUGGAAAUGGAACAACAUUAAAGGUAUGUGUUAUUAAUUCCCCUUCUUUUGAGUACUUAGUUUAACAAGAACGUGCUUUCAUAGGUAAUAUGUAGUGCAUAUUAAUAGAUGGGUCUGGCCCCUUGUUUAAAUGGUGUACGAAAAAUUUCAGUUUUCCAUUGUGUGAAAUUAAGAAACCAGCAACAUUUUUGAUAUGUAUUGCACUACUUGAAACGAUUUAUUAUACACCAUUGUAUAUGAACAGGGUGAUGCUGUUGAUUAAUUCUUUUGCAUUGAAUGGAACAAAGUUUCCUCUUAUAUAUGGAAAAACUGUCGAAGUCAAUGUGAUGAAUCAGGUGCCGUGUAAGUUCUGCUCUCGAGUAAAUAUUGACCCCAAAUUUCAUCAGAGAGAGGGAAUGCAAGAAUAAAUGGAAUUGUAUUUCAUUUCCAGGACUGUGAAGGACUGUUUAGACAGUAGUUUGGUGAACUGAAAGAUUCUACCAUGUGAAUGUUUCUGAGGAUUCGAAGAAGCACUUAGGGCUGGUGCCCUUGGGUUGAGCACAUUGAACAAUUUGCAAGAAAAUGUUUAUCUUGUCUCUCCUGUCAUUCCCUUGCAUCAGUUAUAACUGGACAAGGAUUUUUAGUUGCAGAAUUUUCAUUAUGAGGGCCGAACCAUCAUAUACUGAAAAAUUUGAAGGUACAUCUAGUCCAUGAUUGAUACUUCUCUCUCAUAGGUUUUGUUAGAUAUAAUUUAUCUACUUCUUGGGUUCAUCAAUAUGUUGCAGCCAGAUGUAAGUGGCCCAGGACUAGAUAUCUCAGCAGCAUUUUUCACCAUUUGCUUCACAUUCAGCCUGGCUCAUGAAUGCUACCAAAAAUUGACAUGGCAACCUUAUGGAUCAGGUCAUGUUGAUGGAACCAAUAAAAGCUAUAAAUCCUGGUUUAGUGUAUGUUGCCUUAAGGCUGACUUCAUCCGAAGGAUGUGCAGCAUGGGCUACAAUACAACAUGGUAAAAACUCAUUUCAAGAGACAACAGCAGCUGUCCUACUGACAGUAGAGGCUCCCCUAAGGACCUCAAUCAUCCUUCAAUGGUCUUAAUUUUGCAGAAAAAAGGCCUUUUAAAGUCUGAGUUUCCAAGAACACUUACAUUCGGCCCCUCAAUAUCCCAUGUCAAAAUAGGCGCAGAUCCUGCCAUUCUUGCAUUUUUGUCCUUAAAUCUUAAAUGAGGAAAUGUUUUAUUGUGAUUGUUGCCGGAGAAUUGGAAUCCAUGGGUUUCUUUUCAUGAAUGCUGCAUUAAAUCUUUCAAGAGUA
Long non-coding RNA from Vitis vinifera (wine grape), 2610 nucleotides. RefSeq lists it as uncharacterized. Lineage: Eukaryota; Viridiplantae; Streptophyta; Magnoliopsida; Vitales; Vitaceae. The transcript has 4 exons. The record is from RefSeq and is a predicted model, not a curated record.